Molecule: ribosomal RNA, 397 nt
Filed under: uncultured bacterium
Lineage: Bacteria
Description: partial 16S ribosomal RNA
Rfam family: Bacterial small subunit ribosomal RNA
Source: RNAcentral
AUACGUAGGGGGCGAGCGUUGUCCGGAAUGACUGGGCGUAAAGGGCGUGUAGGCGGCGGUGUAAGUCUGGAGUGAAAGUCCCGCAUUCAAUGUGGGAAUUGCUUUGGAUACUGCAGUGCUAGAGUGCGGAAGAGGUAAGUGGAAUUCCCAGUGUAGCGGUGAAAUGCGUAGAGAUUGGUGGGAACACCAGUGGCGAAGGCGACUUACAGGGCCGUAACUGACGCUGAGGCGCGAGAGCGUGGGGAGAGAACAGGAUUAGAUCCCCUGGUAGUCCACGCGGUAAACGAUGAAUGCUAGGUGUUGCGGGUAUCGACCCCUGCAGUGCCGGAGUAAACACAAUAAGCAUUCCGCCUGGGGAGUACGGCCGCAAGGUUGAAACUCAAAUGAAUUGACGGGG